RNAcentral lists this ribosomal RNA (253 nucleotides) under uncultured bacterium. RNAcentral describes it as "partial 16S ribosomal RNA". It matches the Rfam family "Bacterial small subunit ribosomal RNA", at positions 524 to 776 of the family's 1533-position model. The record is from RNAcentral.
UACGUAGGAGGCAAGCGUUGUCCGGAAUCACUGGGCGUAAAGCGCGUGUAGGUGGUGGGACAAGUCUGCUGUGAAAGCGCCUGGCUUAACCGGGCGAGGUCGGCGGAAACUGUUCGACUCGAGGACGGUAGAGGGGGGUGGAAUUCCCGGUGUAGUGGUGAAAUGCGUAGAGAUCGGGAGGAACACCUGUGGCGAAGGCGGCCCCCUGGGCCGGCCCUGACACUGAGACGCGAAGGCGUGGGGAGCGAACGGG